AUGGAGUCCGACGGCGAGCAGGAGGCGGCGGCCACGCCGACGCUGGGAGCCUCCGCGGGGGCGCCGUCGGCAGGACGGCUGAAGGGCUGCCCGGAGCUCUCGCUGGAGGGCGACAUGCGAGAGAUGGCCAAGACGGCCGUCUGGAGCGUCAGCUCCAGCAAGCCCGGCAAUGGCGUUGCCUCCCUACGCGAUGACAGCCUCGACACCUACUGGCAGUCGGACGGUGCGCAACCGCACCUGGUCAACAUCCAGUUCCAGAAGAAGGUGCAGCUGCAGCUUGUUGUGCUGUACGUGGAUUUUAAGCUGGACGAGAGCUACACGCCGAGCAAGAUCUCCAUCCGGGCCGGCGACGGCUUGCACAAUCUCAAGGAAAUUAAAACGGUGGAACUUUCAAAGCCAGUAGGAUGGGUUCAUAUAUCAUUAUCUGGCACUGAUCCCCGAGAAACAUUCAUUCAUGCAUUUAUGCUCCAAAUCGCGGUGUUGGCCAAUCACCUGAAUGGGAGGGACACUCAUGUCCGACAGAUUAAGAUAUACGGGCCAAGACUGAACCCCGUUCCUCACCAGCAUUUCCACUUCAUUUCCAGGGAAUGCAUAAUGUACUCUAGCGUCAGGUGA
RNAcentral lists this ribosomal RNA (615 nucleotides) under Triticum aestivum (bread wheat). RNAcentral's name for it is "partial small subunit ribosomal RNA". Lineage: Eukaryota; Viridiplantae; Streptophyta; Magnoliopsida; Poales; Poaceae. The record is from RNAcentral.